This 588-nucleotide ribosomal RNA is filed under the name uncultured bacterium. RNAcentral's name for it is "bacterial SSU rRNA". It matches the Rfam family "Bacterial small subunit ribosomal RNA", at positions 338 to 918 of the family's 1533-position model. The record is from RNAcentral.
CCUACGGGAGGCAGCAGUAGGGAAUCUUGCGCAAUGGGCGAAAGCCUGACGCAGCGACGCCGCGUGAGUGAUGAAGGCCUUCGGGUUGUAAAGCUCUGUGGGGAGAGAAGAAUAAGUGCAGGCUAACACUCUGCAUGAUGACGGUAUCUCCUUAGCAAGCACCGGCUAACUCUGUGCCAGCAGCCGCGGUAAGACAGAGGGUGCAAACGUUGUUCGGAAUCACUGGGCGUAAAGCGCGUGUAGGCGGCUUCUCAAGUCGGGUGUGAAAUCCCAGGGCUCAACCCUGGAAGUGCAUUCGAAACUGGGUGGCUAGAGUACUGGAGAGGAAGGUGGAAUGCUUGGUGUAGAGGUGAAAUUCGUAGAUAUCAAGCGGAACACCGGUGGCGAAGGCGGCCUUCUGGACAGAUACUGACGCUGAGACGCGAAAGCGUGGGGAGCAAACAGGAUUAGAUACCCUGGUAGUCCACGCCGUAAACGAUGAGUGCUAGAUGUCAGGAGCUUUGACCCUCUUGGCGUCGUAGCUAACGCAAUAAGCACUCCGCCUGGGGAGUACGGCCGCAAGGCUAAAACUCAAAUGAAUUGACGGGG